Molecule: ribosomal RNA, 497 nt
Filed under: uncultured bacterium
Lineage: Bacteria
Description: partial 16S ribosomal RNA
Rfam family: Bacterial small subunit ribosomal RNA
Source: RNAcentral
GAUGAACGCUGGCGGCGUGCCUAAUACAUGCAAGUCGAGCGAACAGACGAGGAGCUAGCUCCUCUGACGUUAGCGGCGGACGGGUGAGUAACACGUGGAUAACCUACCUAUAAGACUGGGAUAACUUCGGGAAACCGGAGCUAAUACCGGAUAAUAUAUUGAACCGCAUGGUUCAAUAGUGAAAGACGGUUUUGCUGUCACUUAUAGAUGGAUCCGCGCCGCAUUAGCUAGUUGGUAAGAUAACGGCUUACCAAGGCAACGAUGCGUAGCCGACCUGAGGGGGUGAUCGGCCACACUGGAACUGAGACACGGUCCAGACUCCUACGGGAGGCAGCAGUAGGGAAUCUUCCGCAAUGGGCGAAAGCUUGACGGAGCAACGCCGCGUGAGUGAUGAAGGUCUUCGGAUCGUAAAACUCUGUUAUUAGGGAAGAACAAAUGUGUAAGUAACUAUGCACGUCUUGACGGUACCUAAUCAGAAAGCCACGGCUAACUACGUG